This is a small nuclear RNA of Trifolium pratense (red clover), 154 nucleotides long. RefSeq annotates it as U4 spliceosomal RNA. The record is from RefSeq and is a predicted model, not a curated record. The transcript has a single exon. Lineage: Eukaryota; Viridiplantae; Streptophyta; Magnoliopsida; Fabales; Fabaceae.
AUCUUUGCGCUUGGGGCAAUGACACAGCUAAUGAGGUACUAAUCGAGGCGCGUCUAUUGCUGGUUGAAAACUAUUUCCAAACCCUCUGGAAGGACCCCCUUCGAGGUUAAGUCCUACAAUUUUAGUUCAAUCUUUUUUUUUUAUUCUGAAAAAU